Molecule: ribosomal RNA, 253 nt
Filed under: uncultured bacterium
Lineage: Bacteria
Description: partial 16S ribosomal RNA
Rfam family: Bacterial small subunit ribosomal RNA
Source: RNAcentral
UACAGAGGUCUCAAGCGUUGUUCGGAUUCAUUGGGCGUAAAGGGUGCGUAGGUGGGCAGGUAAGUCAGUGGUGAAAUCUCCGAGCUUAACUCGGAAACUGCCGUUGAUACUAUUUGUCUUGAAUAUUGUGGAGGUAAGCGGAAUAUGUCAUGUAGCGGUGAAAUGCUUAGAGAUGACAUAGAACACCAAUUGCGAAGGCAGCUGGCUACACGAAUAUUGACACUGAUGCACGAAAGCGUGGGGAUCAAACAGG